RNAcentral lists this ribosomal RNA (497 nucleotides) under uncultured bacterium. Its description in RNAcentral is "partial 16S ribosomal RNA". It matches the Rfam family "Bacterial small subunit ribosomal RNA", at positions 28 to 507 of the family's 1533-position model. The record is from RNAcentral.
GAUGAACGCUGGCGGCGUGCCUAAUACAUGCAAGUCGAGCGAACGGACGAGAAGCUUGCUUCUCUGAUGUUAGCGGCGGACGGGUGAGUAACACGUGGAUAACCUACCUAUAAGACUGGGAUAACUUCGGGAAACCGGAGCUAAUACCGGAUGACAUUUUGAACCGCAUGGUUCAAAAGUGAAAGACGGUCUUGCUGUCACUUAUAGAUGGAUCCGCGCUGCAUUAGCUAGUUGGUAAGGUAACGGCUUACCAAGGCAACGAUGCAUAGCCGACCUGAGAGGGUGAUCGGCCACACUGGAACUGAGACACGGUCCAGACUCCUACGGGAGGCAGCAGUAGGGAAUCUUCCGCAAUGGGCGAAAGCCUGACGGAGCAACGCCGCGUGAGUGAUGAAGGUCUUCGGAUCGUAAAACUCUGCUAUUAGGGAAGAACAUAUGUGUAAGUAACUGUGCACAUCUUGACGGUACCUAAUCAGAAAGCCACGGCUAACUACGUG